This 958-nucleotide ribosomal RNA is filed under the name Bacillus sp. (in: firmicutes). Its description in RNAcentral is "bacterial SSU rRNA". It matches the Rfam family "Bacterial small subunit ribosomal RNA", at positions 44 to 985 of the family's 1533-position model. The record is from RNAcentral. Lineage: Bacteria; Bacillati; Bacillota; Bacilli; Caryophanales; Bacillaceae.
GUGCUAUAAUGCAAGUCGAGCGGACCGACGGGAGCUUGCUCCCUUAGGUCAGCGGCGGACGGGUGAGUAACACGUGGGUAACCUGCCUGUAAGACUGGGAUAACUCCGGGAAACCGGGGCUAAUACCGGAUGCUUGAUUGAACCGCAUGGUUCAAUCAUAAAAGGUGGCUUUCAGCUACCACUUGCAGAUGGACCCGCGGCGCAUUAGCUAGUUGGUGAGGUAACGGCUCACCAAGGCGACGAUGCGUAGCCGACCUGAGAGGGUGAUCGGCCACACUGGGACUGAGACACGGCCCAGACUCCUACGGGAGGCAGCAGUAGGGAAUCUUCCGCAAUGGACGAAAGUCUGACGGAGCAACGCCGCGUGAGUGAUGAAGGUUUUCGGAUCGUAAAACUCUGUUGUUAGGGAAGAACAAGUACCGUUCGAAUAGGGCGGUACCUUGACGGUACCUAACCAGAAAGCCACGGCUAACUACGUGCCAGCAGCCGCGGUAAUACGUAGGUGGCAAGCGUUGUCCGGAAUUAUUGGGCGUAAAGCGCGCGCAGGCGGUUUCUUAAGUCUGAUGUGAAAGCCCCCGGCUCAACCGGGGAGGGUCAUUGGAAACUGGGGAACUUGAGUGCAGAAGAGGAGAGUGGAAUUCCACGUGUAGCGGUGAAAUGCGUAGAGAUGUGGAGGAACACCAGUGGCGAAGGCGACUCUCUGGUCUGUAACUGACGCUGAGGCGCGAAAGCGUGGGGAGCGAACAGGAUUAGAUACCCUGGUAGUCCACGCCGUAAACGAUGAGUGCUAAGUGUUAGAGGGUUUCCGCCCUUUAGUGCUGCAGCAAACGCAUUAAGCACUCCGCCUGGGGAGUACGGUCGCAAGACUGAAACUCAAAGGAAUUGACGGGGGCCCGCACAAGCGGUGGAGCAUGUGGUUUAAUUCGAAGCAACGCGAAGAACCUUACCAGGUCUUGAC